RNAcentral lists this ribosomal RNA (569 nucleotides) under uncultured Alphaproteobacteria bacterium. Its description in RNAcentral is "bacterial SSU rRNA". It matches the Rfam family "Bacterial small subunit ribosomal RNA", at positions 38 to 651 of the family's 1533-position model. Lineage: Bacteria; Pseudomonadati; Pseudomonadota; Alphaproteobacteria. The record is from RNAcentral.
GGCGGCAGGCUUAACACAUGCAAGUCGAGCGGGCGUAGCAAUACGUCAGCGGCAGACGGGUGAGUAACGCGUGGGAACAUACCUUUUGGUUCGGAACAACACAGGGAAACUUGUGCUAAUACCGGAUAAGCCCUUACGGGGAAAGAUUUAUCGCCGAAAGAUUGGCCCGCGUCUGAUUAGCUAGUUGGUGAGGUAACGGCUCACCAAGGCGACGAUCAGUAGCUGGUCUGAGAGGAUGAUCAGCCACAUUGGGACUGAGACACGGCCCAAACUCCUACGGGAGGCAGCAGUGGGGAAUAUUGGACAAUGGGCGCAAGCCUGAUCCAGCCAUGCCGCGUGAGUGAUGAAGGCCCUAGGGUUGUAAAGCUCUUUUGUGCGGGAAGAUAAUGACGGUACCGCAAGAAUAAGCCCCGGCUAACUUCGUGCCAGCAGCCGCGGUAAUACGAAGGGGGCUAGCGUUGCUCGGAAUCACUGGGCGUAAAGGGUGCGUAGGCGGGUCUUUAAGUCAGGGGUGAAAUCCUGGAGCUCAACUCCAGAACUGCCUUUGAUACUGAGGAUCUUGAGUUCGG